Molecule: ribosomal RNA, 1500 nt
Filed under: metagenome
Description: bacterial SSU rRNA
Rfam family: Bacterial small subunit ribosomal RNA
Source: RNAcentral
AGAGUUUGAUCAUGGCUCAGAUUGAACGCUGGCGGCAGGCCUAACACAUGCAAGUCGAACGGUAACAGGAAGCAGCUUGCUGCUUCGCUGACGAGUGGCGGACGGGUGAGUAAUGUCUGGGAAGCUGCCUGAUGGAGGGGGAUAACUACUGGAAACGGUAGCUAAUACCGCAUAAUGUCGCAAGACCAAAGAGGGGGACCUUCGGGCCUCUUGCCAUCGGAUGUGCCCAGAUGGGAUUAGCUUGUUGGUGGGGUAACGGCUCACCAAGGCGACGAUCCCUAGCUGGUCUGAGAGGAUGACCAGCCACACUGGAACUGAGACACGGUCCAGACUCCUACGGGAGGCAGCAGUGGGGAAUAUUGCACAAUGGGCGCAAGCCUGAUGCAGCCAUGCCGCGUGUAUGAAGAAGGCCUUCGGGUUGUAAAGUACUUUCAGCGGGGAGGAAGGGAGUAAAGUUAAUACCUUUGCUCAUUGACGUUACCCGCAGAAGAAGCACCGGCUAACUCUGUGCCAGCAGCCGCGGUAAUACGGAGGGUGCAAGCGUUAAUCGGAAUUACUGGGCGUAAAGCGCACGCAGGCGGUUUGUUAAGUCAGAUGUGAAAUCCCCGGGCUCAACCUGGGAACUGCAUCUGAUACUGGCAAGCUUGAGUCUCGUAGAGGGGGGUAGAAUUCCAGGUGUAGCGGUGAAAUGCGUAGAGAUCUGGAGGAAUACCGGUGGCGAAGGCGGCCCCCUGGACGAAGACUGACGCUCAGGUGCGAAAGCGUGGGGAGCAAACAGGAUUAGAUACCCUGGUAGUCCACGCCGUAAACGAUGUCGACUUGGAGGUUGUGCCCUUGAGGCGUGGCUUCCGGAGCUAACGCGUUAAGUCGACCGCCUGGGGAGUACGGCCGCAAGGUUAAAACUCAAAUGAAUUGACGGUGGCCCGCACAAGCGGUGGAGCAUGUGGUUUAAUUCGAUGCAACGCGAAGAACCUUACCUGGUCUUGACAUCCACGGAAGUUUUCAGAGAUGAGAAUGUGCCUUCGGGAACCGUGAGACAGGUGCUGCAUGGCUGUCGUCAGCUCGUGUUGUGAAAUGUUGGGUUAAGUCCCGCAACGAGCGCAACCCUUAUCCUUUGUUGCCAGCGGUCCGGCCGGGAACUCAAAGGAGACUGCCAGUGAUAAACUGGAGGAAGGUGGGGAUGACGUCAAGUCAUCAUGGCCCUUACGACCAGGGCUACACACGUGCUACAAUGGCGCAUACAAAGAGAAGCGACCUCGCGAGAGCAAGCGGACCUCAUAAAGUGCGUCGUAGUCCGGAUUGGAGUCUGCAACUCGACUCCAUGAAGUCGGAAUCGCUAGUAAUCGUGGAUCAGAAUGCCACGGUGAAUACGUUCCCGGGCCUUGUACACACCGCCCGUCACACCAUGGGAGUGGGUUGCAAAAGAAGUAGGUAGCUUAACCUUCGGGAGGGCGCUUACCACUUUGUGAUUCAUGACUGGGGUGAAGUCGUAACAAGGUA